AGAGGCUUAGGAUAAUAAUUUAAACCAAAGGCCUUCAAAGCCUUAAAUGAAGGUGAGACUCCUUCAGCCUCUG
This 73-nucleotide transfer RNA is filed under the name Saurida nebulosa (clouded lizardfish). RNAcentral's name for it is "tRNA-Trp". It matches the Rfam family "tRNA". Rfam says of the family: Transfer RNA (tRNA) molecules are approximately 80 nucleotides in length. Their secondary structure includes four short double-helical elements and three loops (D, anti-codon, and T loops). Lineage: Eukaryota; Metazoa; Chordata; Actinopteri; Aulopiformes; Synodontidae. The record is from RNAcentral.